UGGGGAAUAUUGGACAAUGGGGGCAACCCUGAUCCAGCAAUGCCGCGUGUGUGAAGAAGGCCUGCGGGUUGUAAAGCACUUUCAGUAGAGAAGAAAAGCCUAGGGUUAAUAACCCUGAGUCUUGACGUAACCUACAGAAGAAGCACCGGCUAACUCCGUGCCAGCAGCCGCGGUAAUACGGAGGGUGCGAGCGUUAAUCGGAAUUACUGGGCGUAAAGCGCGCGUAGGCGGUUUUGUAAGUCGGAUGUGAAAUCCCCGGGCUUAACCUGGGAACUGCAUUCGAUACUGCUUAACUAGAGUAUGGUAGAGGGAAGUGGAAUUUCCGGUGUAGCGGUGAAAUGCGUAGAUAUCGGAAGGAACACCAGUGGCGAAGGCGACUUCCUGGGCCAAUACUGACGCUGAGGUGCGAAAGCGUGGGGAGCAAACAGGAUUAGAUACCCCCGUAGUCC
This 449-nucleotide ribosomal RNA is filed under the name uncultured prokaryote. RNAcentral describes it as "bacterial SSU rRNA". It matches the Rfam family "Bacterial small subunit ribosomal RNA", at positions 355 to 796 of the family's 1533-position model. The record is from RNAcentral.